Triticum aestivum (bread wheat) is the source of this 928-nucleotide long non-coding RNA. RefSeq lists it as uncharacterized. The transcript has 5 exons. Lineage: Eukaryota; Viridiplantae; Streptophyta; Magnoliopsida; Poales; Poaceae. The record is from RefSeq and is a predicted model, not a curated record.
AGCAAAUUUGCUUUCGCUGCCCUUCCUAGUCUCUACCAAAUCCUUACACAGCGAGGGCACAGGAUCGAAAAUUCCUCGGCGGCGGGGGCGGCGGGGGCUCAGAUCCUGAGCCAAGCCGGGCGGGCUCGCGCAGCAAAGAUGCUGAUCUCCUCUCCAAUGGCUCCUAACCGUUUCGUCGCCGGUGGCGCAGUUUGAGGUAGAUUAGAUCGGAUUCCUUACCUCCUCCCCACUCUCAGGCUCCUAGAUCAGCUCGCGGCCGUCCUCCUCCACCCCCACCCCCACUCCCUCUCGUGAUUCAGCACUAGCUCUCGGAGGUCGUGGAUCCUCGCCUCCUUCCCGGCCGGCUGCUUCUGGUUCUCCGAACAGGCCACCCCACCACGGUUCUUCAUUCUUCAGAAGUUUGACAUGGAAAAGAUGAUCCCCGGUCUAAAUUUGCAAUUCCCAUCUCAGGAUCCAGGAAUGGAGAGUAGCAGUGCAAUGUCUCCCCUAGGAGGGCCCUCAAUUGCAGCAUGUGCACCAGCACUAUAAGGUGACAAUAGUGCCAUGGAAUCGGUCAACAGUGUUCAAAAUCAAGAUUUCUGCGAUGCAACGUCAUUUGCAGAAAUUAAUUCCCCAAUGCUUCUCAUUGAUGAAUCCAGUACACCGAAAAAAAGAAUCAUUCUCUCAAGAGGGUUCUUUGUAUAAACCCCAGUGUGACGAGGAAUUGAAGCUAAAAGUAGGGAUGAUAUUUGAUGACAUUGGCUCGGUGCUGGAAUUUUACAAGUCAUAUGCACACAAUGUCGGAUUUGGUGUACGUCUUGGACAACAGAGGGUCGUAGAUAAUGUGCUUCAAUGGAAACGCUUCCUGUGUGCAAAAGAAGGCUUUCUCCCGAGAAAGGUAGAUCGAGCUGAUCAAGUGUAGAAGAGCCCAUGGAGGUUGUCAUCUCUU